CUGGAAGGUAAAGAAGAGGGAGGGUGGAGGGCUAAGAGGGUGUGUGAGGGGAAAUAAAGGUUGCACCUUGCUGUGUCAUUUCACAGGCUAAUCUCUAAUAAGCUCUAACCUGCACACAAUAAAAUACCUGACAAAUAUUAACACAUAAAGAAAAUGUACUACACUUGUUAAUGGUCUCUAAACCAUUUAGGUGGGAUAGUGACAUGUAGUGUAAACAAUACAAAUGUGGGCUUUUCCAUUUAGGCACUGUAUUUAGUUUAACAUCUAAAUUGAGAGACCCAUCUGCUCUCUGAAGCAUAUCUCUGACAUUGUACAAGGAUACUUUAGAGACCAAAAAAACUGGCCAUUUAGUCAAAAGGAUUCUUUCUAUGCUUGAGAGUCUUGGGACGAACUGAUCAAUGAAUAUUGGCAUUCCAUCUUACAAAGUAGGGCUAUGCUACAUAUUACAAAUCUGUUUUAAAAGCAGUAUUACUGUAUGCAAUACACACAUUGCGAAGAACUGUCUGAACUACAAUAAAUGUUAGCUAAGUAUUUAAGUAACAUGAAUUUAUGCUUUUCGUGUCUGUUAUAUAUUUAAGAGGCACUUGUUCAAUGCAAAAUAACACAACUAAGUUAUCAAAUGCCAAAGCAGCAGACAGUGGCCAGAAGCAACUUUUCCAACAAAACGUUGGAAAUCGUUAGGGCAAGGCAAAUUUAUUAGCACAUUUCAGUAACAAGACAAUUCAAACUGCUUCACAUCAUGAAAUCAUGAAAAAAAAAAAACAAUAAAGGCAAGGAAAGAAAAGUUGUACUAUAGACUAAAAUGUAUGUUUUAGUUAAUAGUGUCAAAGUCUGGUUGUCUCCGUGCCUGCUGCUUCCUUUUUCCACCUCUAGGGGCCGCGGAGCUGGAGGACCGAAGGUGUGACAGGUGUUCUUCAAUGACUCAUCAGUUCAGAGGACUAUAUGAGGGCGGCUCACCUGCACUUCUGCGCCUGAGUGUUUUUGCCCUUCGUGCACCUCUGACCACAGUAUGGACUAUGGAUUAAUUCCAUGCAGCGGGCUACCCUGGUUACCUCUCUGUCUGGUCUAGCGAACCCUGUCCACCCUCCUACGGUUCCUCCUGGAUCCUGGAUCAUCAAGAAGCCCCAACGGGAUCAGCACUACCUCACUGUCCCAGACCCACAACCAUCUCCCCCCUGGCAGAUCGCCCCACCCGAAUAUCAGACAGGCUUCCUGGAAACUUCGCUUCUUGUACAUUUCACAAAUUGUUAAUAAAUUCUUUAAACGUUUCUCUGUUUGAGUGUGGGUCAAAUCGGCCUUAAAAACGAUGACAAAUAGUGUAAACAUUGAAUAGUCAAAGGCAACUCUAAACAAAUGGGUUUUUAAACUUCAUUCAAAAGAACUUGGUCUGAGCUUGACAAACCAAGAGUUGAAGAGUUUGUCACUGGGGCGGUACCCUCAAAGGUACUGCUAUUGUACCCUCAACAGUGGGCACUUACGUGUGCCCUUUUAGAUUGUACAAGUUCAGAAUUGUACAUUUGGUGAUGUUGGGACCCACAGCCAUGGAUUUCAACAUUA
Molecule: long non-coding RNA, 1557 nt
Organism: Girardinichthys multiradiatus
Lineage: Eukaryota; Metazoa; Chordata; Actinopteri; Cyprinodontiformes; Goodeidae
Exons: 3
Source: RefSeq, a predicted model, not a curated record